This 226-nucleotide unclassified non-coding RNA is filed under the name uncultured fungus. RNAcentral describes it as "sequence contains ITS2". Lineage: Eukaryota; Fungi. The record is from RNAcentral.
AAUUCUCAACCCCUCUCGAUUUGCUUCGAGGGGGAGCUUGGAUAGUGGGGGCUGCCAGAGUCUUCAGGGACUCAGGCUCUCCUGAAAUGCAUCGGCUUGCGAUCGACUUUCGACUUUGCGCAACAAGGCUUUCGGCGUGAUAAUGAUCGCCGUCUUCCGAAGCGCAUGAUGGAAAGGUCUCGUGCCUCGAACGCGUCGACGUCUUCGAGACGUCUUCCUUCUUUAU